GCUUGUCAGCGUGUGUCUGCCUCGCCUGCGUCAAGCGCAGUGUCCGACUUACGAUGUAACACAUUGUGGUGUUCAUGGUCUCAGCCUUUCACCUUUGGCUGCUUCAUCCAUCCUCCCUAGGACAAAACACCACCCAAUACAUAUUGCAGAUUUGUUCUUUACUUCUUGUGUCUGCUAAGGGGCAGUGGGUAUUUGCAGCAAUUUGAUGGAAAUUUUAUGACCGAAGUGAUCAUGAUGGAAAGGUCUAACAACUGCGGCAUGAUGACUACCGAGUGACUACAGCUGCAUGAUGAUGAUGGCCCACCAAUGAUAGACUGCAUGAUUGUGAAGGUGUCACGACUGCAUGUGAAGAAGGAAUAAUGAGGAAGGAGUGACGAGACAGUGAAACGACAACAUUUGACUGACAAUGACAGUGUGAACAGGCAGAAGACAAAGUUGGCAGAAGAGCCAAAGAAAACUUUGCUUUAAGAAUGCAAUGCAAUAUCUCAAAAGAUGGAACUGAGAACAGCACAAAAAACGCACUGGCAGAGAAGUAUAAUAGUGAAGCGCAGUUUCUUUUUUUAGGUAGAGAAGGCACAAGUUGCACCUAGUUUGAUGCCUUGUGGUGCAAUACUGUCUGGAGCACACUGUAUCCACUUAAAAAUAAAUCGCAACACAUGAUCCAAGCAAUGCCACAAGCAACAAGAUACAAGUGUGCACUAGAGAUGUCACAAUUUGAAAUGCUGCUAACCAGUUGUUCAGUUUGCAGCAAGACCAUAUGUGUAGAACAGUGAAACUAAACGAGGUGGCAAUGAAUAAAAAUUACUUAGAGAUAUUGCCUGAAUGUAAAUCUCUCACUCGAUCUUGAAGGGUCACUAAAGAGGUACACUGAAUGAAUUUAAAUUGAUACAGUAUUUUUGAAAAAAAGAAAUAGGCUUUCGUUGAUCUCACAGUAGUGGGUUAAUUAUUAGAAGUUGGUCAGUUUCAUUUUUGAGUUUUAUGCCAAAAUGCCUGGAUUGCUUUGUCAGCAUACCGCCAACAUGGAGCAUGUUGACCAUCCAUUCAUCUGGUCCUACUUUUCAUUUACGGAAAGCUCUACUAUUCACAGUUAUAGCUUUUCAAGCUCAUUUUCGUUAUUAACUAUACGCACAAGCACCUGAUUGUCA
Molecule: long non-coding RNA, 1145 nt
Organism: Dermacentor albipictus
Lineage: Eukaryota; Metazoa; Arthropoda; Arachnida; Ixodida; Ixodidae
Source: RefSeq, a predicted model, not a curated record